AGAAUCAACGCUGGCGGCGUGCCUAACACAUGCAAGUCGCACGAGAAAGGGUAGCAAUACCUGAGUAAAGUGGCGCACGGGUGAGUAACACGUGAAUUAUCUACCUCCGAGUGGGGAAUAACUGAGAGAAAUCUUAGCUAAUACCGCAUAACACUUACGAGUCAAAGCAGCAAUGCGCUUGGAGAGGAGUUCGCGGCCGAUUAGUUAGUUGGCGGGGUAAUGGCCCACCAAGACGAUGAUCGGUAUCCGGCCUGAGAGGGCGCACGGACACACUGGAACUGAAACACGGUCCAGACUCCUACGGGAGGCAGCAGUGGGGAAUUUUGCGCAAUGGGGGAAACCCUGACGCAGCAACGCCGCGUGGAGGAUGAAAUCCCUUGGGAUGUAAACUCCUUUCGAUAGGGAAGAUAAUGACGGUACCUAUAGAAGAAGCCCCGGCUAACUUCGUGCCAGCAGCCGC
Molecule: ribosomal RNA, 460 nt
Filed under: uncultured bacterium
Lineage: Bacteria
Description: SSU rRNA
Rfam family: Bacterial small subunit ribosomal RNA
Source: RNAcentral